UACGUAGGGUGCGAGCGUUACUCGGAAUUACUGGGCGUAAAGUGUGCGCAGGCGGCCCUUGAAGUCAGGCGUGAAAGCCCCGGGCUCAACCUGGGAGGUGCGCUUGAUACUCGAGGGCUUGAGUGCGGGAGAGGAGAGUGGAAUUCCCAGUGUAGAGGUGAAAUUCGUAGAUAUUCGCAAGAACACCAGUGGCGAAGGCGGCUCACUGGCCCGGUACUGACGCUGAGGUGCGAAAGCGUGGGGAGCAAACAGG
This 253-nucleotide ribosomal RNA is filed under the name uncultured bacterium. RNAcentral describes it as "partial 16S ribosomal RNA". It matches the Rfam family "Bacterial small subunit ribosomal RNA", at positions 524 to 776 of the family's 1533-position model. The record is from RNAcentral.